GACGAACGCUGGCGGCGUGCUUAACACAUGCAAGUCGAACGGAAAGGCCCUGCUUUUGUGGGGUGCUCGAGUGGCGAACGGGUGAGUAACACGUGAGUAACCUGCCCCUGACUUUGGGAUAUCUUCAGGAAACAGGGGCUAAUACCGGAUAUGAUCUCCUGCUGCAUGGUGGGGGUUGGAAAGUUUCGGAGGUUGGGGAUGGACUCGCGGCUUAUCAGCUUGGUGGUGGGGUAGUGGCUUACCAAGGCUUUGACGGGUAGCCGGCCUGAGAGGGUGACCGGCCACAUAGGGACUGAGAUACGGCCCAGACAGCUACGUGAGGCAGCAGAGAGGGGUGUUGCACAAAAGGCGGAAGCAAGAGUCAGCAACGACGCGUGCGGGAUGGCGGCCGUCAGGUUGUAAGCCACUUUCGAAUGUGUCGGAGCGUGAGGGACGGAAAUGGGGAAAGAAGCAACGGCUAAUUACAU
This 467-nucleotide ribosomal RNA is filed under the name uncultured bacterium. RNAcentral describes it as "partial 16S ribosomal RNA". It matches the Rfam family "Bacterial small subunit ribosomal RNA", at positions 28 to 506 of the family's 1533-position model. The record is from RNAcentral.